RNAcentral lists this ribosomal RNA (468 nucleotides) under uncultured bacterium. RNAcentral describes it as "partial 16S ribosomal RNA". It matches the Rfam family "Bacterial small subunit ribosomal RNA", at positions 28 to 507 of the family's 1533-position model. The record is from RNAcentral.
GACGAACGCUGGCGGCGUACUUAACACAUGCAAGUCGAACGGUGAAGCUCCAGCUUGCUGGAGUGGAUCAGUGGCGAACGGGUGAGUAACACGUGAGCAACCUGCCCCUGACUCUGGAAUAAGCGCUGGAAACGGCGUCUAAUACUGGAUACGAGAAGGGUCCGCAUGGGCACUUUCUGGAAAGUUUUUCGGUUGGGGAUGGGCUCGCGGCCUAUCAGCUUGUUGGUGAGGUAAUGGCUCACCAAGGCGACGACGGGUAGCCGGCCUGAGAGGGCGACCGGCCACACUGGGACUGAGACACGGCCCAGACUCCUACGGGAGGCAGCAGUGGGGAAUAUUGCACAAUGGGCGAAAGCCUGAUGCAGCGACGCCGCGUGAGGGAUGACGGCCUUCGGGUUGUAAACCUCUUUCAGCAGGGAAGAAGCGAAAGUGACGGUACCUGCAGAAGAAGCACCGGCUAACUACGUG